UUGUUGUAUGAGAUGAUGAACGUGUGUCCUCCAUUUCGUGAUAUAAAGGAAAUCAUGGAAGCCGAAGUUAGGUUUGCAAACCCACAUUUAUCCAAAGAAUGCCGUGAUGUGAUUGUCCAGUGCCUAGCCCGUGACCCUACUGAAAGGCCGACCUUGGAGCAGCUCUUGCAGCAUGACUGGUUUAAAACAAAAAAAUGAAGGGAGGAUUGAGUCAGAGGGCUGAAACAUCGGAGUGAUCAGUAUGUGUCCGGUCUGCUGCGCUGGAAGGGGAUGUUAUCAGAGCGACAGACGAGAGAAGUGCUGGAUAUGAGCCGGGAACUCGGACUCGGUCUAAAGCCUAGACGCUCCACCUGUCAGCCUCUGAAAGGACUUUUAUGUUUUUUUGAUAUAAAAACACCAUGACAGUUUGA
Molecule: long non-coding RNA, 410 nt
Organism: Puntigrus tetrazona (Sumatra barb)
Lineage: Eukaryota; Metazoa; Chordata; Actinopteri; Cypriniformes; Cyprinidae
Exons: 3
Source: RefSeq, a predicted model, not a curated record